RNAcentral lists this ribosomal RNA (291 nucleotides) under uncultured bacterium. RNAcentral describes it as "partial 16S ribosomal RNA". It matches the Rfam family "Bacterial small subunit ribosomal RNA", at positions 506 to 796 of the family's 1533-position model. The record is from RNAcentral.
UGCCAGCAGCCGCGGUAAGACGAGCUCUCCAAACGUUAUUCGGUAUCACUGGGCUUAAAGAGUUCGUAGGCGGCUUUACAGGUGGGGUGUGAAAGCCCUCGGCUCAACCGAGGAAUUGCGCCCCAAACCGUAAGGCUUGAGGGAUAUAGGGGUAAGCGGAACAGAUGGUGGAGCGGUGAAAUGCAUUGAUAUCAUCUGGAACACCGGUGGCGAAGGCGGCUUACUGGAUAUUUUCUGACGCUGAGGAACGAAAGCUAGGGUAGCGAACGGGAUUAGAUACCCUGGUAGUCC